This 339-nucleotide ribosomal RNA is filed under the name uncultured eukaryote. RNAcentral describes it as "partial 18S ribosomal RNA". It matches the Rfam family "Eukaryotic small subunit ribosomal RNA", at positions 1470 to 1796 of the family's 1831-position model. The record is from RNAcentral.
CCCUUAGAUGUCCUGGGCCGCACGCGCGCUACAAUGACUUAUUCAGAAAGUUUUACCUGGUUCGGAAGAAUUCAGGGUAAUCUUUGUAAUACAAGUCGUGUUAGGGAUCGAUCUUUGCAAUUAUAGAUCUUGAACGAGGAAUUCCCAGUAAGCGCGAGUCAUCAGCUCGCGUUGAUUACGUCCCUGCCCUUUGUACACACCGCCCGUCGCUACUACCGAUUGGAUGGUUUAGUGAGACCCUCGGAUCGGUCCCGACUCGGGGUGGGCUUCUGCCCCGGUCGUGGUUUCGCCGAGAAGACGGUCAAACUUGACUAUCUAGAGGAAGUAAAAGUCGUAACA